Molecule: ribosomal RNA, 253 nt
Filed under: uncultured bacterium
Lineage: Bacteria
Description: partial 16S ribosomal RNA
Rfam family: Bacterial small subunit ribosomal RNA
Source: RNAcentral
UACGUAGGGGGCAAGCGUUAUCCGGAUUUACUGGGUGUAAAGGGAGCGUAGACGGCAGUGCAAGUCUGGAGUGAAAGGCGGGGGCUCAACCCCCGGACUGCUCUGGAAACUGUACGGCUGGAGUGCAGGAGAGGUAAGUGAAAUUCCUAGUGUAGCGGUGAAAUGCGUAGAUAUUAGGAGGAACACCAGUGGCGAAGGCGGCUUACUGGACUGUAACUGACGUUGAGGCUCGAAAGCGUGGGGAGCAAACAGG